UCUCAUUCCCGAUAUAACAUUUCAAACUACAAUUUUCCCGCCUCUCUGUCUGUCUGUCUGUCUCUCUCUCUCUCUCUCUCUCAACCAUGGAACCUCCAUAUCUGAAGUUACUAAUGGUGCAGGGCCCUAGAGAGGGCGAGACGUUGGAAUUCCGACCCGGAUCCACCAUCCGAAUAGGCCGGGUAGUCCGCGGCAACAACCUCCCUGUCAAGGAUGCCGGCAUCUCCUCUAAACACCUCCUUAUCGGAUCCGAAUCGGGUAAAUGGAUUGUCCAAGACCUCGAUUCCUCCAACGGAACCACUCUCAACUCCUCCAAGCUCCCUCCCUUCCAAUCCUUCGAUCUUCGUGAUGGCGACUCCCUCAAGCUCGGUGAGUACACAUCCAUCCUCGUUCAGUUCAGCGGCAGCGAGCCGUCUCAGUUAAGAUGCAAUCCGAGGAGAAAAGUCAAUGAAUUUGAUAAAACAGGAUCGAUUGCAAAGAACCGUGGCGGGAGGCCAGAGGUGAUAAAAUCUGAAGAGAAUAUUGAAUUGGAGAGAGAACAUGUUGAGAAUUUGGAGGAAAUUAAGCCAGUUCAGAGAAGAGGUAGACCGCGAAAAGCUAGGGUCUUGGAUAAGGUCGCGGAGGCUGAUAAAGAAUCGGGAAAUUUGGGCUCCACGGCAGAGAAAGUGGAGACGCAGGGACUGAAUUUUAGGGUUACUCGAAGUAGAAAGAAUGGGGAUUGCAUGAUUUUGAAUAAUUUGGGCGCUGAAUGUAGUAAAAUGGCGCCAGGGGGCAGGGGAAGGAGAAAGAAGUUACCGGAUUUGCCGCUGGAGAAUUCUCAAGUUGGUGUUCUAGAAAACAAGGAGACUAUAGAUUUAGUAUCGAAUUUGAGAGAAGAGGCGCAAGAGAAGGUUAAUGAAGUUGGUGUUAGGGGAGAAAAUGGAAUAAAAUGCGAGAUUGUAGAAGGAAAGAAGGGAGAGGGAUUGGAUGCUGAAACGAAUUGUAAAGAUGCUGGGAAUGCGGGUGGUCUCAAAGAGAGUAGUGGUAAGGCACAAAUUAAGACGAGUGAGAAUUUGGGUAAAGGGCAGGAAACAGUGGAUUUGGAGGAGAUGACGUUGGGGCAGUGGUUUGAUUAUAUGGAGGCGCAUUUGCCGAAGCAGAUAAUUGAAGCUAGCGAAGAGAUGAUCGAAGGAAUGAGACGGAAAGCAGAACAGGUUCGAGAGUAUAUGAUAGAACAGAAGAAAGCUAAGGCUGUUCCUUCUGUGGGUUAGAGGAGGAGAGGCUUGACUCACAAGUAUUUCUCCAUAAGAGCUUAGCUGCGUUUUUAAAGGGUUUUGGGAGAUCCAUGGUAUAAGUUUGGAUGCAAUAUCUCGUGGGCGGAGUUGCUAGAAUGUUCAUCUCUGGAACUUGGAAAGACAUGUUUAGACAAGUUUUCCUCGCAAUCUACCGGGCAACGGUGAAUUGCCCAGUCAUUGAAGGAGUGCUAUUUAGGGAAGAUGAUGGACGUGUUUCAUUUUCUGUAAGACUCUUAACUCUGUCCUUUACCUUCUUCUAUCUAGGAUCCAUAGCUCUUUAGUUCUCGUUAUCAAUACUCUGAGCAGUUGAGAGAUGUAAUUGAAGUACUAGAUUAAUUGGAAUUUAAAUCCAAUGAAUUUGGAUUUAAUUUCCUUUUGUGCGAAGCUGUAAUUAUGUAUUGAAAACCAAAUGCACUAUCAUUUUCAUGCCCAAACCAGAAGAUACAAGAAGCUGAAGGCCUCGCCAAUUCUCAUAA
Molecule: RNA transcript, 1750 nt
Organism: Hevea brasiliensis (rubber tree)
Lineage: Eukaryota; Viridiplantae; Streptophyta; Magnoliopsida; Malpighiales; Euphorbiaceae
Gene name: FHA domain-containing protein At4g14490
Exons: 3
Source: RefSeq, a predicted model, not a curated record